ACCUGAAGCUUUAGCACGUUAAAUACACCAAUUCCCAACGGAUCACUGAAGUUAAGCAACGUUGUGAUCGGUCGGUAUCCGGACGGGUGACCGUGUUUGACAAAACUGUUGUCUCUUGAC
RNAcentral lists this ribosomal RNA (120 nucleotides) under Diaphorina citri (Asian citrus psyllid). The record is from RNAcentral. Lineage: Eukaryota; Metazoa; Arthropoda; Insecta; Hemiptera; Psyllidae.